Long non-coding RNA from Sapajus apella (tufted capuchin), 100 nucleotides. RefSeq lists it as uncharacterized. The transcript has 3 exons. NCBI's taxonomy places the organism in Eukaryota, Metazoa, Chordata, Mammalia, Primates, Cebidae. The record is from RefSeq and is a predicted model, not a curated record.
GAGGAAUUUCACCAGGGUUGUUUCAGUGAAUUAUUUGUAGUACUUUAAAAUAAGUAUUGUUUCCUAAAAAUGAUAAACAGGAAGAAAAAUGUGUUACUUA